GACGAACGCUGGCGGCGUGCUUAACACAUGCGAGUCGAACGGAAAGGCCCUGCUUUUGUGGGGUGCUCGAGUGGCGAACGGGUGAGUAACACGUGAGUAACCUGCCCUUGACUUUGGGAUAACUUCAGGAAACUGGGGCUAAUACCGGAUAGGAGCUCCUGCUGCAUGGUGGGGGUUGGAAAGUUUCGGCGGUUGGGGAUGGACUCGCGGCUUAUCAGCUUGUUGGUGGGGUAGUGGCUUACCAAGGCUUUGACGGGUAGCCGGCCUGAGAGGGUGACCGGCCACAUUGGGACUGAGAUACGGCCCAGACUCCUACGGGAGGCAGCAGGGGGGAAUAUUGCACAAUGGGCGGAAGCCUGAUGCAGCAACGCCGCGUGCGGGAGGACGGCCUUCGGGUGGUAAACCGCUUUCGCCUGUGACGAAGCGUGAGUGACGGUAAUGGGUAAAGAAGCACCGGCUAACUACGG
RNAcentral lists this ribosomal RNA (467 nucleotides) under uncultured bacterium. RNAcentral's name for it is "partial 16S ribosomal RNA". It matches the Rfam family "Bacterial small subunit ribosomal RNA", at positions 28 to 506 of the family's 1533-position model. The record is from RNAcentral.